AUUGAACGCUGGCGGCAGGCCUAACACAUGCAAGUCGAACGGUAACAGGAAGCAGCUUGCUGCUUUGCUGACGAGUGGCGGCCGGGUGAGUAAUGUCUGGGAAACUGCCCGAUGGAGGGGGAUAACUACUGGAAACGGUAGCUAAUACCGCAUAACGUCGCAAGACCAAAGAGGGGGACCUUAGGGCCUCUUGCCAUCGGAUGUGCCCAGAUGGGAUUAGCUAGUAGGUGGGGUAACGGCUCACCUAGGCGACGAUCCCUAGCUGGUCUGAGAGGAUGACCAGCCACACUGGAACUGAGACACGGUCCAGACUCCUACGGGAGGCCGCAGUGGGGAAUAUUGCACAAUGGGCGCAAGCCUGAUGCAGCCAUGCCGCGUGUAUGAAGAAGGCCUUCGGGUUGUAAAGUACUUUCAGCGGGGAGGAAGGGAGUAAAGUUAAUACCUUUGCUCAUUGACGUUACCCGCAGAAGAAGCACCGGCUAACUCCGUG
Molecule: ribosomal RNA, 490 nt
Filed under: uncultured bacterium
Lineage: Bacteria
Description: partial 16S ribosomal RNA
Rfam family: Bacterial small subunit ribosomal RNA
Source: RNAcentral